GUCGAGCGGAUGAAGGGAGCUUGCUCCCUGAUUCAGCGGCGGACGGGUGAGUAAUGCCUAGGAAUCUGCCUGGUAGUGGGGGACAACGUCUCGAAAGGGACGCUAAUACCGCAUACGUCCUACGGGAGAAAGUGGGGGAUCUUCGGACCUCACGCUAUCAGAUGAGCCUAGGUCGGAUUAGCUAGUUGGUGAGGUAAUGGCUCACCAAGGCGACGAUCCGUAACUGGUCUGAGAGGAUGAUCAGUCACACUGGAACUGAGACACGGUCCAGACUCCUACGGGAGGCAGCAGUGGGGAAUAUUGGACAAUGGGCGAAAGCCUGAUCCAGCCAUGCCGCGUGUGUGAAGAAGGUCUUCGGAUUGUAAAGCACUUUAAGUUGGGAGGAAGGGCAGUAAAUUAAUACUUUGCUGUUUUGACGUUACCGACAGAAUAAGCACCGGCUAACUCUGUGCCAGCAGCCGCGGUAAUACAGAGGGUGCAAGCGUUAAUCGGAAUUACUGGGCGUAAAGCGCGCGUAGGUGGUUUGUUAAGUUGAAUGUGAAAUCCCCGGGCUCAACCUGGGAACUGCAUCCAAAACUGGCGAGCUAGAGUAGGGCAGAGGGUGGUGGAAUUUCCUGUGUAGCGGUGAAAUGCGUAGAUAUAGGAAGGAACACCAGUGGCGAAGGCGACCACCUGGGCUCAUACUGACACUGAGGUG
Molecule: ribosomal RNA, 697 nt
Filed under: bacterium 09-L049660-122-017-A02
Lineage: Bacteria
Description: bacterial SSU rRNA
Rfam family: Bacterial small subunit ribosomal RNA
Source: RNAcentral